This 714-nucleotide ribosomal RNA is filed under the name Triticum aestivum (bread wheat). RNAcentral's name for it is "partial small subunit ribosomal RNA". Lineage: Eukaryota; Viridiplantae; Streptophyta; Magnoliopsida; Poales; Poaceae. The record is from RNAcentral.
AUGACUGGUGCCCUAGUGUGCGUGACAUUGUCGAUGCAUUAUCCAGAACACUGCCUCACCGGUGCGCGCAUCCCAACCAAUCACAUCUAUCUCCAUGUCCAUGAAUACUUUGUCAAGGGCUUUAAUGGCUCGUUUUGGAUGGACAAAGACCUCAUAUUGAUCGAUAUUGAAAAACAGGUCCAUGUCAAUGACAGAUCGACGUGUGGGUUUGAGGUGGACGAUAUAACCAACCUCACGCUAGAUAAUGCCCCUGGCAUUAUGUCUUGCAGCAACAUCCAAGCUGUGGUUGCCCUGAUCUCCGUUGAGCUCGCUGGAGGGCCAUGCCGGAGCCUGCCGCUGGGGCGUCGAGAUGGCACAACCACCAACAUUGAGAGCGCCAACAAUCUCCCGAGCCCCUUCGACUCCCCGGAGAUGCUCCAGGAGAAGUUCAAGAACUUGGGCCUCGACGACACUGACCAUGUCGCUCUCCAUGGAGAAAACACCUUUGGGCGAGUACAAUGCCAGUUGAUGCAGCAGAACUGCAGCGUCGGGGAGGACGAGGAGACACUAGUGAAUCUUGACACAGUCAUCCCUAAUGUAUUCGACAACAAGUACUACGGCAGCCUCUUGUGUGGCUGCACCCCUCUCCCUUUGACCAGGUUCUCCAUUAGCCUGAAGGACUCCUUAAAGAAUUAUGCGGCCUCGAUGGUCAAAAUGGGAACAGAAGCCCGUUAA